This 236-nucleotide ribosomal RNA is filed under the name uncultured Mycoplasma sp. RNAcentral describes it as "partial 16S ribosomal RNA". It matches the Rfam family "Bacterial small subunit ribosomal RNA", at positions 128 to 354 of the family's 1533-position model. Lineage: Bacteria; Bacillati; Mycoplasmatota; Mollicutes; Mycoplasmatales; Mycoplasmataceae. The record is from RNAcentral.
ACCUUUUAGUAUUGGAAUACCCAUUGGAAACAAUGGCUAAUGCCGGAUACGCAUGGAACCGCAUGGUUCCGUUGUGAAAGGCGCUGUAAGGCGCCACUAAAAAGAUGAGGGUGCGGAACAUUAGUUAGUUGGUGAGGUAAUGGCCCACCAAGACUAUGAUGUUUAGCCGGGUCGAGAGACUGAACGGCCACAUUGGGACUGAGAUACGGCCCAAACUCCUACGGGAGGCAGCAGGC